Ricinus communis (castor bean) is the source of this 1069-nucleotide RNA transcript. RefSeq lists it as uncharacterized. The transcript is spliced from 4 exons. NCBI's taxonomy places the organism in Eukaryota, Viridiplantae, Streptophyta, Magnoliopsida, Malpighiales, Euphorbiaceae. The record is from RefSeq and is a predicted model, not a curated record.
UCUUAUUGACAUUCUAUCUAUAAAUACAGCAGACCAAACCGCCUUCCUCUCCCCUGUUAUCCCUUUUUUUUGGUUUCUAAAGCACAAACAAAACCUACCCAUUAGCAAUCAUGGCUCUUUCCCUCUCCUCCAAAACCUACCUUACCACAACUACUCCCUGGAGAUCGCUGUCUCGACUCCUGGCUUUUCGCGCUCAAUCUAAUACCCCAAACCACCUCGCCGACAUAUCCGAGGAAUCUUCCACCACCGACCCUUUGCUGCGCAAGCUGGAGGACGCCAUCCAUCGGAUCAUCGUCAGGCGGGCAGCACCCGAUUGGCUUCCUUUUCUACCAGGAUCUUCAUACUGGGUCCCCCCACCUAGAUCUACUGGCGGAUCCCUUGGGAUUGCUCAGUUGGUUGAGAAAUUGGCUAAUCCCUUGACCGAUGAGCAAUCUCUUUCUACCACCACCGUCAGAGGUUGGCCUUCCUCUGAUUUCUUUUUUCAAGAUGCAUCUCCUCGUACGAUUGAGGUGAAGAUGACUUCCAAUAAAUUUGAAGACGCAAAGCCAACCUCGAAUAAAUCGGAGGUAGAGGCCAUUUCAAACAUAGAGAAGGUGGAGGCACCUUCGAAUUAUGUAUCCCCAUCUGAAGAAGAGGAAGGAUGAAUUUUACCCAUAAAUAAACUGGCAUCUGGUAUUCCCAUACGUUAGACUAGAGACAAGAUAUUGGGAGUUCGCCUGUGAUACCAGGAGUCAAAAGUAAAAUAUGAGAAAAAGCUAAGUGACAGGCUCAUCCAGUCUUUGUAAAUUUUAUGUAGAAGCAAGACUCAGAAUGUAGUGGAAAAAAAGGUGUAUGACAAUGUGCAACAGAUGCAAUUUCAUGAGGUAGCAAUAGUUUAGCAAAAAGACGAACCUACCCUGGAAAAUGUACUGGACACUGAUUUGUGUUGAAGCUUUCAAUCGCUUUGUACUUGUAUUUAUUUAUAUCCCCUGCAGCCCGCUGGAUAUUUCCCUUCUGAUUUUAGUUCAGAUGUCUAGCUUUUGUACCUGUACAUAUGCUUGUGGAAUAAUUGCACUAGUGAUUCUCUGCU